ACGAGCAGUGCGUUUGAAGCUUUGCACACGUGAACUCGUUUUUGAUAAGACUUAAUAUAAAUUGGCAGCGUAUUCAGUUAUCGCGUAGAAUCAGUUAGGACUUGGCCAUUGCGCCUGCUCAAGUCAACAAGAGCUUGGAGAACCUUAUGUCGGUCGAGCUGGAGAUGGUUAGCCACUCGGAGGAGUCGAUUGAGCGUGGUGCGGCCUCUUCGCCGCCCUGUUCGCCGCCCAGACGCUUUAUCGGCCGCUGCGAGUCGGUCGAGUCGUCCAGCUCGACCGACUCCUGCGGCUCUUCAGGCUCUUCGGCCAGCAGCAGCGCCUCCUCUUCAGGAAGCAGCGUGGACAAGCGUCUGAAUCUGACCUCCGCCCUGCACCGCCUGCUGACCUUCCCGGUCGGCCUGGCUGAGAAGCUGCGGCUGGACGUCCGAUCUUUGGCCGCGGUCGGCUUCUUCUGGAACGGCAGGCAGCUCGAGUGCUUCCGGUGCCACCAGAAGGAGCAGCAAGUGACCCCGUGGCAGGACCUCAAACAACUGCAAAUCCAGCUGAAGCACUACGAGUGCACCCACCCUUCAGAAGACGACAUCCCACCCAGCAGUGCGGCCUGCAGCCUCAACUACGAAGCCCACAGGCUGCUCUCCUUUUAUCAGAACUCUAGCUGGAAGUGCACGUUUGUGCAGCCGAGUGACCUGGCCGAGAACGGCUUUUAUUACACCGGCCGAGACGACAUUUGCAAAUGCCACUUUUGCAAUCUGGAGAUGAAAGAUUGGGAGGCUGGAGACACUCCGGCCGGGGAGCACAAAAGGUGGAACCCCGAGUGCCCCCUGGUCAAGAACAAGCCCAUCGGCAACUUCCGGCUGGGCGCCGAGAUCCGCCGCAAAGUGGCCUCGGACGGCCUCGAGAUCAAGCCGUUCACCAAGGCCGAGAAUGACAUGCGUCGCGCCCUGCCCGACGUUGUGCCCAGGAACAAGGCGCUGCAGCCGCCCCCGACCCACCCUCACAUGAAGACCGAGGAUGCCCGAAUGGUUUCCUUCAAAAAUUGGCCCAACAAGUAUCCGAUGAAGCCGGCAGACUUGGUCGAAGCUGGAUUCUUCUACACUGGAAUGGAUGAUGCUGUUUUGUGUUUCCACUGCGGUGGAGGUUUGAAAGACUGGAAAGCUGGAGAGGAGCCUUGGGUGAUGCACGCCAAGUGGUUCAGCAGUUGCAAGUUCCUGAUGGAGAGCCAGGGCAGGGACUUCAUCUUGUCCGUGCUCAGAGUACACAAAGCCAUCCUCACCUCCAAGCAAUUCAAGGAAGCUAUGAUAACGACUGAAAAGUCGCAGUUGGAGCGAGGAAGUUCUAUGACCAAAGACUCGCAGCAGCAAACAUGCAAGAAUGGCGAGCCAAAUCUGAUUCAUUUCUCCCAUGCUCAAGCUCCUGCAUGUGGGACCUUUUGAAGUUUUGAAGAAUCCGUCAUUCAGAAAAUCGAUGGUGGCGCCACAGCCAUGAGUUCAUGACCUAGUCGACUCAUUCUUCUGCGUCUUCUCUUUCCACCCCCGCGACCUAAGAAAAGGGAGCCAAAUUAGCAGACGGGGAGAAAAGAAGAACCGGAAAAAGAGGGAAAGCGCAAUUUGUCAGCUAAAGAGGAAAAGCAGUUUUAUUUUUCUUGUCUCGGCACUGCACUCGUACUUCUUCCUUAUUGCUGGGAAUGCCACUGGAAUGUGUGUGUUUGUUUCUGGAUUGGAUUUCACUCGCCGCCCCCGGAGACGGCCACCUCCCGCCACUGGGGCAGGGGCGGCGCCGCUGCCGCCGCCUCCAAGGGCUCCUCGGCCAGCUCCUGCUGCUCCCGCUCCGCCUCCUCCUCCUGGCUCUCCUCCGGGAUUGUCUCCGAGUCGGACAAGAGGGACACGGAGCUCAGCAGGGGCUCGUCCUCGGCCUCCCCGCUCGGCCGCAGCACCAGGUAGUUCAGCAGGUCAGACAACGAGAUGACCCCGAUCACUCUGUCCUCGUCGUCCACAAUCACCAACCGAUGGACCUGAAGCAAAAUUGUUUUAAAAUGUGUUAAAAAGAACAAAAAAAAAAUAGGAAAAUUUUAUUUAAAAUGGGCUGUGUUGAAAAAAAUUGCAAACGGGAAGAUGUCAAAGUAAUUAAUUUUAAGCUUUUUUGGGCACUGUGUUAACUCUGUCUUUAGUCAGUGGUGAUUUUAGCAUGUAAGGCCAGAGUUAUUAAACUGUGUUUACACUAAAGAAUGCAUUUAUUUUUAAAUUUGAACUGCAUUGAAUUGACUUAGGAUAAAUAUAAAUUAAUAUGUAUUAAAAAUUUAAUUUUAUUACAAUAAAUAUUUUGAAUUUAUUUGUAAAUAUAAUUUGUAAAUUUAAUUUUAUUGAAUGCUACGGAUAAAAUGUGCGCUCUUUGCUGUAAAACAGAAAUAAAUAAUGGUACAAUAAUAAUGUGAAA
Neocloeon triangulifer is the source of this 2433-nucleotide RNA transcript. It is a transcript of the gene named death-associated inhibitor of apoptosis 1-like, with no coding region annotated. The transcript has 8 exons. The record is from RefSeq and is a predicted model, not a curated record. NCBI's taxonomy places the organism in Eukaryota, Metazoa, Arthropoda, Insecta, Ephemeroptera, Baetidae.